Molecule: ribosomal RNA, 321 nt
Filed under: uncultured Prevotella sp.
Lineage: Bacteria; Pseudomonadati; Bacteroidota; Bacteroidia; Bacteroidales; Prevotellaceae
Description: partial 16S ribosomal RNA
Source: RNAcentral
GGAGUUUGGACCGUGUCUCAGUUCCAAUGUGGGGGACCUUCCUCUCAGAACCCCUACCGAUCGUUGCCUUGGUGGGCCGUUACCCCGCCAACAUAGCUAAUCGGACGCAUCCCCAUCCACCACCGAUGAAUCUUUACUCCUCGUCAGAUGUCCGCAAAGGAGACCAUCAGGGAUUAAUCCAGUUUUCACUGGGCUAUACCCGAGUGGCGGGCAGGUUGGAUACGCGUUACUCACCCGUGCGCCGGUCGCCAUCAGGGAUUGCAAGCAACCCCCAUGCUGCCCCUCGACUUGCAUGUGUUAAGCCUGUAGCUAGCGUUCAUC